UGGGGGUCUCUGGGGCCCGGGGGGGGGCAGGCCUGAUGCCAGGCACUGCCGCGUGAGUGAUGAAGGCCUUAGGGUUGUAAAGCUCUUUUGCUGGGGAUGAUAAUGACAGUACCCAGAGCAUAAGCUCCGGCUAACUCCGUGCCAGCAGCCGCGGUAUUACUGAGGGAGCUAGCGUUGUUCGGAAUUACUGGGCGUAAAGCGCACGUAGGCGGCUAUUCAAGUCAGAGGUGAAAGCCCGGGGCUCAACCCCGGAACUGCCUUUGAAACUAAAUUGCUAGAAUCCUGGAGAGGCUAGUGGAAUUCCGAGUGUAGAGGUGAAAUUCGUAUAUAUUCGGAAGAACACCAGUGGCGAAGGCGACUCGCUGGACAGGUAUUGACGCUGAGGUGCUAAAGCGUGGGGAGCAAACAGGAUUAAAUACCCUGGUAGUCCACGCCGUAAACGAUGAUAACUAGCUGUCCGGGUUCACAGAACUUGGGUGGCGCAGCUAACGCAUUAAGUUAUCCGCCUGGGGAGUACGGUCGCAAGAUUAAAACUAAAGU
RNAcentral lists this ribosomal RNA (540 nucleotides) under uncultured bacterium. RNAcentral describes it as "bacterial SSU rRNA". It matches the Rfam family "Bacterial small subunit ribosomal RNA", at positions 355 to 906 of the family's 1533-position model. The record is from RNAcentral.